This 344-nucleotide ribosomal RNA is filed under the name uncultured bacterium. Its description in RNAcentral is "partial 16S ribosomal RNA". It matches the Rfam family "Bacterial small subunit ribosomal RNA", at positions 355 to 691 of the family's 1533-position model. The record is from RNAcentral.
UGGGGAAUAUUGCACAAUGGGCGCAAGCCUGAUGCAGCCAUGCCGCGUGUGUGAAGAAGGCCUUCGGGUUGUAAAGCACUUUCAGCGAGGAGGAAGGGUAGUGUGUUAAUAGCACAUUGCAUUGACGUUACUCGCAGAAGAAGCACCGGCUAACUCCGUGCCAGCAGCCGCGGUAAUACGGAGGGUGCAAGCGUUAAUCGGAAUUACUGGGCGUAAAGCGCACGCAGGCGGUUUGUUAAGUCAGAUGUGAAAUCCCCGCGCUUAACGUGGGAACUGCAUUUGAAACUGGCAAGCUAGAGUCUUGUAGAGGGGGGUAGAAUUCCAGGUGUAGCGGUGAAAUGCGU